GUUGCAAAACAAUCCAAACAAAAGAAUCUCUAGAGGGACCCAAUCAACCACUUCCGUCCUCCUACAUCUCCCCUCGCUCUCCUCCUCCGCUCCUCCUGAUUUAAUUUCAUUCUCUCUCUCUUUGUCUUUCUGUGCCCCCCCCCCCCUCCACCCCACCCACUCAUUCUGGUGGAAAGUAUUCUAUGAAAGUCCAUGGGCGCAGCUUCACGGGUCAGAGUGGAGAGUGUUCUCAUAACCUGCUCCGCUCCUCACCCACCUUUUUUUCGUUAUAUACACACCUCGUCUCUCGGCCCCUCUGCUCCAUCUUUUCCUCCAGCUUGGACUCAUUUUUAUUCUCUCGGCUCUUUUGUUUCUUUUCUCGAUGCCCUCUGUCUCCAUAUUGGACAAAUUAAACAGGAGACAUCGACUUGCAGGUGUGUUGUGUGGACAAUGUUAAAAAGUUAAGACUUUCUCACAAACACACACACACACACACACAGCGGGUAUUAGUGAGAGGGAGCUACCGGGUUCAUGGUUUGGACCAACUGAAUUAAUGUCACACAUCUGGAAGAAAGCUCCUGCCUGCUCCACCCCUCUGCUGCGCUGUGUGGGUGUGAUCCCCAGUUUCCCUUUGUGUGUGUGUGUGUGUGUGUGUGUAGGUGUAGUGUUUCGAGUUCUUCUCUCCCUGAACCAGACCACCCACUCAGAAGACCAAUACAAGGACUACGGAGAGCCCGGAUAGACACACACACACACACUCACACACAUUCACACACACACACAUGUAGCUCCCUUCCAAGUCACCCCUCCCCAAUAUUCUCAGAAUAGAACACGUUGUUAUCAGAGGCUGAAAGUGAUCCCAGACCAGCUGACAUGCUAUCGAAAAGUUUUAAAAGUUGAUAUGAGAAAACCCGAAAGGGGGUGUUUGAUUCCGAGACGCUACGUUCUUUUUCAAAAAUCGCAGUCAUCGGUUGAAGAAUGUCCGAGUGUUUGAAAUCCAAAAUGAGAGCCUGGGAGUUCGGCGCUCUGUGUCUGUGACGGCGCCCUGGCGAGGCGCUUUGAGGGAGCUGCCGUGAGAACAAACACGGGAGAUCCACCCUGAGCUCCUCCGGGCCCGGGGGGGGGGGGGCGAGGUUGGUAGUUUGAUCUCAAAGUGCCAUUGAGCAAUCUCUAACAGCAAAAAGAUACAGGGAAACUGGUUCCAGGACCCCAAAUCCCCCAGACACCCCAGAGACCCCAGAGACCUCCGGGAACACUCGGUUUGUUGUGGUUUGAUUCAUUUCAGACUAUUUGACCUCCGUUAAACCACUAAGCCAGAUAAAGUAAACUGAUCAGGUUGUUAAAGUUUGAUGAUUUCUACCCAAUCAUAGUCCUCUGUGGUCAGACAGCUGUUUGAAAAAUGUAUCAGGACAUAUUUUAAGUGUGGAAUCAGGGAAUUUCCACCAUUAAAGCUUCUCACAGUGAUGGGAAACACAAAGGGGAACGAUGUUGCAAGAUAACUUAAUUAUUUCAGAUGAUAUCAAGCUUGGUUCGAAUUCCCUAAAAACAACGUGACGUGGCGACCGCAAAACGAAGCGCCAUGCGGCCGUCCUCACCGGGUCGGGUUGUAUUCCGGGAGCAACCUACAACGGAGUCGUCCACGUGCUCCACACCUGAGAGUGACGCGACGCACAACGACAAAGCACAGGGAGGAAGAAAUCGGAUUCAUUCAGGGACCUCUGGUCCAAUUACUUAUUGUCUCGUCUGUUAUCGCUCGUCUGGAUUAGCUUGGGACAAGUAAGAAAUUGAAAUUCAGUCUGAUCAUCAGGCUCGGAGAAAGGGGGGAGUUGUUCAGUUGGUUCCUCCCCGACAUCAACAUCUUCACGUGAAGGUGCAGGCCGCUCGUAAUCGAUACAGAACCGGCGCUUCGGGGAUCACAGAGCGGAUCAGAACGGGUUCAGCAGAACCAUGUACGCUCUGAAAAAUUAUUAGAUUACCUCUCAUUUUGAAACUGAAUACUCGGACACCCCAAAGAGCGAAACGAUCCUCGGCGGAUUCCGCCGCUGCUCUGAAGGCCGAAAGUUCACCGUUUUUCACAAGAGGUUUUCUUGGUGCGCUUUGUCGGAGUGUGAAUUCCUGGUCACCGCUUCCCCGUGUGAGACAUAGCAAUGUAUGUCCGUUGUCAGGGAGUAUCAACAUCACCGCGCAGUGACUAAUGAAAACAAGAUGAUACACCACUGAAACCACAGCGUGAUACGACGUGAAGCUGCACACUAAAUGGACUCUUUGGUCCGACUCUUGCAGAAAUCCCCUCUGGGAGUCUUGAGCAGGCCUGAGUGAGUUGAUCCUCCAGUCAGGUUCCUGCGCAUGUAAAUUUCAGUUCAAAGGACAAACCCAUUAGGCUUUUUCCUCCGCAUGCAAAUACCAAUGCACCUGCUCAACACCCACGGCAACUCUGUGCGCGUUGAGAGAAUUUGAGCACCUUCGCUUUCACGGAAGUGUGGAAGAAAUCCGUUUCUUAUCUUGAUUUGUGAAAUGAGGAACGAGUCAGCCAGCAAUGUGCAGUAUGUCGCCCACGUACAUUUAAUCAGAGCCGUUUGCUGACUUAAACCCCUCGAGUGCCGAGCGGCUGGCUUUUGACGACGGAGCCCGUGAGGUCGUGCGCGUCGUUCGUCCCUUUGAGCUCCAAUACUCAAAAAAAAAUCAAACUUCCUAUUGCAGUAUACAUUCUGUCUUUGGUGGGACAAAGAAAAAUGUGCGAGAACGAGAACAACCAACAUCUGAAUUCAUGUAUGAGGGGACUUUAUAUUUUCUCUCCUAUUAUUUAUUUUGGCCCGAUUUCACCGGCCAGCAUUAAUGGAUGGAAGAAGAAAAUUCACACAAUAAUACAUCUUCAGCUUUGACUGGGAACGGUUCCAUCAUGUUCAGCACAACAAUAAGAGGCAACACAUCGUUCUUCGGAGAUUGAUGCACAUCUUGUUAUGCAGCAGAGUGACUUGUCUUUCGGCGAGGAUUCAAACGUCAGGGCUCGAGCAGCCGAUUGAGCCAUUUUGAGUUACUCUGGGAAUCGAUAUGUUCGGUUUAAAUGUUUAUAUUCAUGGGGAAACCUUUAGUUAUUUUCACAACAGAACCCAUCGCACACAGACUAAUAAAACACAAUAGUGUCAUUGUUAGGAUUUGUCCCAAUGACACCAUUGAGACUAUCUGACUUGAAUUUGAAUUUGUGUGUUUUCCUAUUGAAGCAUUGUCCUUAUGCAGAACAUAAAACAGAUGCUAUUCACAAUUAUCCAGAGGAAGCCGAGGUAUUUAUAUAUGAUAGGAGAGGUGUGUGUGUGUGGGUCGGGGUCGGGAUUUUAAGAAAAACAUGUGGUAUAAUGGUGGGCGUUUUUUAAUUCUCACCAGAAAUGAUCCAUUGUUUCCCAAAGUGCAAAGAUGUGAUGUUUUGAAUUACAACACAUACGGGGAGAUGGAAAUCCAUAAGCCAAAGGUAAAGCAUAAUAUUUGAGCUCAUCGGUUUACUUGAACGAGUUGUUCUUUAUCUCGUUAGUAACUCAAACUAACUUAAAGGAAAGUUGGUUCGGAGCCAACAAACACAAAGGAAGUGUGACACGAAUUGAGCAAUGAGCCUCACGUCAGUGGUUGGAAUGAUGUUCUCCUAGUUUAUGGACUUUUCCCCGGCUAAGAGGUGUUUAAUUAAUUUAUUUUUAAUUUGAAUUGUUUUAAGUACAAGCUUGGACAAGAGGAAUAAAAUGGAAGCAGUUAAACAAGACCAAAGAAUGGUGACUGCAUAAAAAAGACGCCAUCUAAUUGGCUGGCUGCACGCACACACACACACACACACGCACACACACGUGCUACCGACGGAUGCAUGUGAAUAGUUACAUAAUCUAAAGAACCUCCCAAUGCUUGUCCCGGCCUGCCUGACCAGACCCUAUGUACACAAUGUGUGAGUUCUACACAUGUCCAACAGGCUGUUAACUUUUGUGGGUGGACAACCAUGAAAACAAUCAGCCUUCACU
Long non-coding RNA from Gasterosteus aculeatus aculeatus (three-spined stickleback), 3977 nucleotides. The record is from Ensembl. NCBI's taxonomy places the organism in Eukaryota, Metazoa, Chordata, Actinopteri, Perciformes, Gasterosteidae.